This is a long non-coding RNA of Quercus lobata, 574 nucleotides long. RefSeq lists it as uncharacterized. Lineage: Eukaryota; Viridiplantae; Streptophyta; Magnoliopsida; Fagales; Fagaceae. The record is from RefSeq and is a predicted model, not a curated record. The transcript is spliced from 2 exons.
UAUAAUUCUGAAACCAAAACACCUUUGCCGAUGCCAUCAACUUUGAAAAUCUCUCUACCCUUCUCCUUCCCCCAAAACCCAAAUCUCUACCCUUUUCCUUCCCUUAAAACCCAACUCUGAAAAACUUUUAGCAUGUGACCACUCCUAUUUAUUCUUAGAAACCAUCUCCUUCCCCCCAAAUUCUCACCCAAAACUCCUAUAGCAUGCAACCCCUCCUCUCUCUUCUUAGAAACCAUUUGGUCUAAACUUGCUCAAGUAGUAGAUAUAGUACUAGUCUGAUUUGUGUGAGCCCCGAAGCAAGAUUUGGAAGAGGAGGAUCAAGUUUAUUUGGGCGACUCGGACUGAGACUCAGUGACCACAUGACACUUCUUAAAGCUUUUGAAGGAUAGAAGGAUGCAAACUGUAAUGAAAAGAGUCCUGUCACCUUGCAAAUGAUAGAGGAUAUGAGAAUGCAAUUUGUAGAUCUAUUUAACAUUGGCUUUGUAAACAAAUUGAUGAGUGCUAAUGUAAGUUGGCUUUGUAAACAAAUUGAUGAGUGCUAAUAUAAGUUCUUUAAGAUUUUCAAAUUUUAAAG